UUCUUUCCAUGAUUGAAGUUUUGGUUGUUUUUUCAGUUUUUAAUCCUUCCAUUUGCUGUCCAAACAGUAAAGAUGUAACAGAAAGCAUGAGUAGUA
RNAcentral lists this unclassified non-coding RNA (96 nucleotides) under Chryseobacterium wanjuense. RNAcentral's name for it is "Flavo-1 RNA". The record is from RNAcentral. Lineage: Bacteria; Pseudomonadati; Bacteroidota; Flavobacteriia; Flavobacteriales; Weeksellaceae.